AACCCUGACCGAGCAACGCCGCGUGAGUGAAGAAGGUUUUCGGAUCGUAAAGCUCUGUUGUAAGAGAAGAACGAGUGUGAGAGUGGAAAGUUCACACUGUGACGGUAACUUACCAGAAAGGGACGGCUAACUACGUGCCAGCAGCCGCGGUAAUACGUAGGUCCCGAGCGUUGUCCGGAUUUAUUGGGCGUAAAGCGAGCGCAGGCGGUUAGAUAAGUCUGAAGUUAAAGGCUGUGGCUUAACCAUAGUACGCUUUGGAAACUGUUUAACUUGAGUGCAGAAGGGGAGAGUGGAAUUCCAUGUGUAGCGGUGAAAUGCGUAGAUAUAUGGAGGAACACCGGUGGCGAAAGCGGCUCUCUGGUCUGUAACUGACGCUGAGGCUCGAAAGCGUGGGGAGCAAACAGGAUUAGAUACCCUGGUAGUCCACGCCGUAAACGAUGAGUGCUAGGUGUUGGGUCCUUUCCGGGACUCAGUGCCGCAGCUAACGCAUUAAGCACU
This 498-nucleotide ribosomal RNA is filed under the name Streptococcus sinensis. RNAcentral's name for it is "bacterial SSU rRNA". It matches the Rfam family "Bacterial small subunit ribosomal RNA", at positions 379 to 868 of the family's 1533-position model. The record is from RNAcentral. Lineage: Bacteria; Bacillati; Bacillota; Bacilli; Lactobacillales; Streptococcaceae.